This is a long non-coding RNA of Sorghum bicolor (sorghum), 771 nucleotides long. RefSeq lists it as uncharacterized. The record is from RefSeq and is a predicted model, not a curated record. The transcript has 3 exons. Lineage: Eukaryota; Viridiplantae; Streptophyta; Magnoliopsida; Poales; Poaceae.
CCAUAGUCUGAGAAUUCCACUAUAAAAAAUCAGAUUUUUCUCGUCGUCUCUUCACCGCUGCCAUGAGCGAAGUUCUCCAUGAACGGCAGCUUGUUCGUCUCAGGCCAUCCCAUCCUUUCUGCUGCCCUAAUAGCAUGGUCGGGAGCAGCCCUUGCAGUAGCCUCCUUGGCCCCUGGUCGAGCGUACGCAAGCAACAACUCUCUGCUGGAGUUUGCGAUGGCCUUAUCCGUUUUCCCUUCCACGGCAGGAGCUCCAACCAGCCACAUGGAUGGGUGCGGAAUGGAACGAUCUGCUACAGAUCAAGGCAGAAGAAGAAUGUAAGCGUUGUCGGAGCCCAAAAGCUGAGUGCCAGAAGCUGCAUGACGGAACAUGAAGUUUGAAGAUUCUAAGUUGGUUUGGGUGUAAAGCAAGUUUAAGGCAACUAUAAUUUGGGACUAUCCUUGUUACCUAUACACUUUUAAUAUAUAUAUUAUAUGCAUGUGUCCACCUUGACAACCCUAGAGAAAUCAUAGAUAAUUGUUAUCUUGAAUUCCUUGAUACCUAUUUGGAUAUGCAUUUGUGUAGUUCUUGCUAGUGCUUAAUUUUAAUCCAUAAUCUUGUAAGAUGAUUAAUGACUAUGUAGUGAACGUUAAAAGAUGACUUAUGACUAUAUGAGAUCUUAUCUGUACGUGAUUUACCUGGAAUUAAUAAUGUAACCAUGAGGCCUAUUAUGGCUCUGGCUUUAGUUCAGUAUGAAGACCUUUUCUAUCUUGUUAGAGGUUACCCGUAAGG